AUGAAUAAAAAAGGAACAGUUCGAGUAGUAUCUACAAAUAUUACCGAAAACAUUGUUAAAAUACUUCUACGAGAGGGUUUUAUUGAAAGUGUUCGGAAACAUCAGGAACGUAACAGAUAUUUCUUGGUUUCAACUUUGCGACAUCAAAAGAGAAAGACUAGAAAAGGAAUAUAUAGAACAAGAACCUUUUUAAAGCGUAUCAGCCGACCCGGCUUACGAAUUUAUACCAACUAUCAAGGAAUUCCUAAAGUUUUGGGUGGAAUGGGAAUUGCUAUUCUUUCUACUUCUCGAGGAAUAAUGACAGAUCGAGAAGCUCGACUAAACAGAAUUGGGGGAGAAGUCUUAUGUUAUAUAUGGUAA
Molecule: ribosomal RNA, 360 nt
Filed under: Triticum aestivum (bread wheat)
Lineage: Eukaryota; Viridiplantae; Streptophyta; Magnoliopsida; Poales; Poaceae
Description: partial small subunit ribosomal RNA
Source: RNAcentral